Molecule: non-coding RNA, 75 nt
Organism: Pangasianodon gigas (Mekong giant catfish)
Lineage: Eukaryota; Metazoa; Chordata; Actinopteri; Siluriformes; Pangasiidae
Source: the annotation of a GenBank genome assembly
AGACACACACACACACAGAGAGGGAGAGAGAGAGAGGGACACACACACACAGAGAGAGAGAGAGAGGGACACACA